This 101-nucleotide ribosomal RNA is filed under the name uncultured bacterium. Its description in RNAcentral is "partial 16S ribosomal RNA". It matches the Rfam family "Bacterial small subunit ribosomal RNA", at positions 354 to 454 of the family's 1533-position model. The record is from RNAcentral.
UGGGGGAAUAUUGGGCAAUGGGCGCAAGCCUGACCCAGCAACGCCGCGUGAAGGAAGAAGGCUUUCGGGUUGUAAACUUCUUUUAAGAGGGACGAAGGAAG